This 465-nucleotide ribosomal RNA is filed under the name uncultured Klebsiella sp. Its description in RNAcentral is "bacterial SSU rRNA". It matches the Rfam family "Bacterial small subunit ribosomal RNA", at positions 338 to 795 of the family's 1533-position model. The record is from RNAcentral. Lineage: Bacteria; Pseudomonadati; Pseudomonadota; Gammaproteobacteria; Enterobacterales; Enterobacteriaceae.
CCUACGGGGGGCAGCAGUGGGGAAUAUUGCACAAUGGGCGCAAGCCUGAUGCAGCCAUGCCGCGUGUGUGAAGAAGGCCUUCGGGUUGUAAAGCACUUUCAGCGGGGAGGAAGGCGGUGAGGUUAAUAACCUCAUCGAUUGACGUUACCCGCAGAAGAAGCACCGGCUAACUCCGUGCCAGCAGCCGCGGUAAUACGGAGGGUGCAAGCGUUAAUCGGAAUUACUGGGCGUAAAGCGCACGCAGGCGGUCUGUCAAGUCGGAUGUGAAAUCCCCGGGCUCAACCUGGGAACUGCAUUCGAAACUGGCAGGCUAGAGUCUUGUAGAGGGGGGUAGAAUUCCAGGUGUAGCGGUGAAACGCGUAGAGAUCUGGAGGAAUACCGGUGGCGAAGGCGGCCCCCUGGACAAAGACUGACGCUCAGGUGCGAAAGCGUGGGGAGCGAACAGGAUUAGAUACCCGAGUAGUC